UCCCGGCUAGCUCAGUUGGUAGAGCGUCAGACUCUUAAUUUCACAAGGGUUUCUGCAGUUCUUGCAGUGUUCAUCUGAAUGUCGUGGGUUCGAGCCCCACGUUGGGAG
This 108-nucleotide transfer RNA is filed under the name Tilletia controversa (dwarf bunt fungus). It matches the Rfam family "tRNA". Rfam says of the family: Transfer RNA (tRNA) molecules are approximately 80 nucleotides in length. Their secondary structure includes four short double-helical elements and three loops (D, anti-codon, and T loops). Further hydrogen bonds mediate the characteristic L-shaped molecular structure. tRNAs have two regions of fundamental functional importance: the anti-codon, which is responsible for specific mRNA codon recognition, and the 3' end, to which the tRNAs corresponding amino acid is attached (by aminoacyl-tRNA synthetases). tRNAs cope with the degeneracy of the genetic code in two manners: having more than one tRNA (with a specific anti-codon) for a particular amino acid; and 'wobble' base-pairing, i.e. permitting non-standard base-pairing at the 3rd anti-codon position. The record is from Rfam by way of RNAcentral. Lineage: Eukaryota; Fungi; Basidiomycota; Exobasidiomycetes; Tilletiales; Tilletiaceae.